AAAUUGAAGAGUUUGAUCAUGGCUCAGAUUGAACGCUGGCGGCAGGCCUAACACAUGCAAGUCGAACGGUAACAGGAAGCAGCUUGCUGCUUUGCUGACGAGUGGCGGACGGGUGAGUAAUGUCUGGGAAACUGCCUGAUGGAGGGGGAUAACUACUGGAAACGGUGGCUAAUACCGCAUAAUGUCGCAAGACCAAAGAGGGGGACCUUCGGGCCUCUUGCCAUCAGAUGUGCCCAGAUGGGAUUAGCUUGUUGGUGAGGUAACGGCUCACCAAGGCGACGAUCCCUAGCUGGUCUGAGAGGAUGACCAGCCACACUGGAACUGAGACACGGUCCAGACUCCUACGGGAGGCAGCAGUGGGGAAUAUUGCACAAUGGGCGCAAGCCUGAUGCAGCCAUGCCGCGUGUAUGAAGAAGGCCUUCGGGUUGUAAAGUACUUUCAGCGGGGAGGAAGGUGUUGUGGUUAAUAACC
This 471-nucleotide ribosomal RNA is filed under the name Salmonella enterica subsp. enterica serovar Oranienburg. RNAcentral's name for it is "bacterial SSU rRNA". It matches the Rfam family "Bacterial small subunit ribosomal RNA", at positions 1 to 468 of the family's 1533-position model. Lineage: Bacteria; Pseudomonadati; Pseudomonadota; Gammaproteobacteria; Enterobacterales; Enterobacteriaceae. RNAcentral also lists the same sequence under 21 other names. The record is from RNAcentral.